Molecule: ribosomal RNA, 253 nt
Filed under: uncultured bacterium
Lineage: Bacteria
Description: partial 16S ribosomal RNA
Rfam family: Bacterial small subunit ribosomal RNA
Source: RNAcentral
UACGUAGGGGGCAAGCGUUAUCCGGAUUCACUGGGUUUAAAGGGAGCGCAGGCGGAUUGGUAAGUCAGUGGUGAAAGGCUUGAGCUUAACUCGGGAACUGCCAUUGAUACUAUCAGUCUUGAAUAUUGUUGAGGUUUGCGGAAUGGGUCAUGUAGCGGUGAAAUGCAUAGAUAUGACCCGGAACACCUAUUGCGAAGGCAGCAGGCUAAACAAAGAUUGACGCUGAGGCUCGAAAGCGUGGGGAUCAAACAGG